Lynx canadensis (Canada lynx) is the source of this 123-nucleotide small nuclear RNA. The record is from Ensembl. NCBI's taxonomy places the organism in Eukaryota, Metazoa, Chordata, Mammalia, Carnivora, Felidae.
GUGUUGUAUGAAACAAGGUCAGCACUUCCCUCGACGAGGACGGAAGAGACCCUCAGGCUUAACAAUAUGCACACACACUUAAGGCACUGCCACCUACGUCUUGGCAUCUAACCAUCGUUUUUC